GCCGUUAUAGCUCAGAUGGUAGAGCAGGCGAUUUGUAAUCGUCAGGUCCUGGGUUCGAAUCCUAGUGACGGCA
RNAcentral lists this transfer RNA (73 nucleotides) under Acinetobacter virus 133. RNAcentral describes it as "Acinetobacter phage 133 tRNA". It matches the Rfam family "tRNA". From Rfam's summary of the family: Transfer RNA (tRNA) molecules are approximately 80 nucleotides in length. The record is from Rfam by way of RNAcentral. Lineage: Duplodnaviria; Heunggongvirae; Uroviricota; Caudoviricetes; Pantevenvirales; Straboviridae.